GCUUUCGGCAGCUUUAACAGCAGCAGAACCAGCAGGUUCAGCUGACCCAGGGCCAGCUUUAUCGGCAGAAAACGUGGCAGCAGCAGUCGGAGACUUUAAAGCAGCUUCAAUAAAUGGUUUCCUGGCCCGGCUCUUCCUUGGCACCAUAAGCCAUGUGCCCGAAACUGCAGGUUCCACAAUAGGAUGCUGAACAGUUGACACGUAAGCUGGAGAAGGAGAAAAGGUGGACAUGUCCAUAGGAUGGGAGUAAGCAAGCGUAA
This 260-nucleotide long non-coding RNA is filed under the name Gossypium barbadense (sea-island cotton). Its description in RNAcentral is "long non-coding RNA (GBAR_LNC019841)". The record is from RNAcentral. Lineage: Eukaryota; Viridiplantae; Streptophyta; Magnoliopsida; Malvales; Malvaceae.